RNAcentral lists this ribosomal RNA (443 nucleotides) under uncultured bacterium. RNAcentral's name for it is "partial 16S ribosomal RNA". It matches the Rfam family "Bacterial small subunit ribosomal RNA", at positions 338 to 795 of the family's 1533-position model. The record is from RNAcentral.
CCUACGGGAGGCUGCAGUGGGGAAUAUUGGGCAAUGGAGGCAACUCUGACCCAGCAAUGCCGCGUGAGUGAUGAAGGUAAUUUGAUUGUAAAGCUCUUUUCUUUGGAACGAAUAAAUGACGGUACCAAAGGUAUAAGCCCCGGCUAACUACGUGCCCGCAGCCGCGGUAAUACGUAGGGGGCAAGCGUUGUUCGGAAUGACGGGGCGUAAAGGGUGUGUAGGGGGUUGGAAAAGUUAGGUGUGGAAUACCCAGGGCUUAACUCGGGUGCUGCAUCUAAAACUGUUAGACUGGAGUACUGGAGAGGAUAGUGGAAUUCGUGGUGUAGGGGUAGAAUGCGUAGAGAUUAGGAGGAACAUCAGUGGCGAAGGCGACUAUCUGGACAGCAACUGACACUGAGGCACGAAAGCGUGGGGAGCAAACAGGAUUAGAUACCCCGGUAGUC